Long non-coding RNA from Zingiber officinale, 565 nucleotides. RefSeq lists it as uncharacterized. The transcript is spliced from 4 exons. The record is from RefSeq and is a predicted model, not a curated record. Lineage: Eukaryota; Viridiplantae; Streptophyta; Magnoliopsida; Zingiberales; Zingiberaceae.
CGGUACAGGGGAGACUUUGUCAAAAUUUUUCGGUAGGGUUUUCCUAGAGAUUUUUAAUAAACCGGUUAAGUAGAGUUAGUAGAUAAGUAACGGUCACCCUUAGGGAGUAGUAAGAAGGGUGAUCGUUUCAAACAAUGACACAAUUUUACUUUCUCUUGCAAACAUUUCCUAAAGCUGCAUGCAAUUGCUUAAUAUACAAGUAUUGUAUCUCUAGUUUUAGAAGCUAAACUCAUCUUUCUGAUCUAAAGGCACCCUGUGAAGCAGAAGCUCAAUGCACAGCUCUUUUCAAAAGUGACAAGGCGUUUGCGGUUGCCUCAGAAAACAUGGAUACUUUAACUUUUGGGGUACCAAGGUUUCUCCAUCAUUUAAUGGAUCCUAGUUCCAAAAAAAAUCUCUGUGAUGAAAUUUGACGUUUCAAAGGUUCUUGAAGAGCUAAGACUCACUAUGGAUCAGUUCAUUGAUUUGUGUAUUCUCUCUGGAUGUGAUUAUUGUGAUAACAUUAAAGGUCGGGCAAUUCGUGAGGCUUGAGUUUUUUUGAUGCAAGAAGUGAGUUUUGUUAGGAUGU